RNAcentral lists this ribosomal RNA (482 nucleotides) under uncultured bacterium. Its description in RNAcentral is "partial 16S ribosomal RNA". It matches the Rfam family "Bacterial small subunit ribosomal RNA", at positions 30 to 507 of the family's 1533-position model. The record is from RNAcentral.
AUUGAACGCUGGCGGCAGGCCUAACACAUGCAAGUCGAGCGGAUGAAGGGAGCUUGCUCCUGGAUUCAGCGGCGGACGGGUGAGUAAUGCCUAGGAAUCUGCCUGGUAGUGGGGGAUAACGUCCGGAAACGGGCGCUAAUACCGCAUACGUCCUGAGGGAGAAAGUGGGGGAUCUUCGGACCUCACGCUAUCAGAUGAGCCUAGGUCGGAUUAGCUAGUUGGUGGGGUAAAGGCCUACCAAGGCGACGAUCCGUAACUGGUCUGAGAGGAUGAUCAGUCACACUGAAACUGAGACACGGUCCAGACUUCUACGGGAGGCAGCAGUGGGGAAUUUUGGACAAUGGGCGAAAGCCUGAUCCAGCCAUGCCGCGUGUGAAGAAGGUCUUCGGAUUGUAAAGCACUUUUAUUUGGGAGGAAGGGCAGUAAGUUAAUACCUUGCUGUUUUGACGUUACCAACAGAAUAAGCACCGGCUAACUUCGUG